AUGGCAAACUUUGAUCAGCGCGUCGAGCUUCUUCAAUCCUCUGGCAAAGGCGGCUUCAGAUCUUCAGCCAACGCCGCUACUUGUGGGCGCGGGCAGCAGCGUGGUCGUGGCAUGUCCCGCGGCCGCGGUGGCGGGCGCGGUGGACAUGGUCGCGACUCUGGUGGUGCUUCCCUGGCUACAACAACAACAAGGGGCGCCCAGGACCAGGAGGACCGGCUGGUGGGGGUUUCCGCAACGACAAUUGCCCCCACUACCAAAUAUGCAGCAAGCGAGGCCACAUUGCCAUGGAUUGCUGGUACCGGUUCACGAAUGACUAUCUUGCAGAAGAGAAGGUGGCCGGAUCUGCAGCAACCUCAUCAUAUGGGGUGGACACAAAUUGGUACGCCGACAGCGGCGCUACUAAUAACAUCACGGGUGAACUCGAGAAGUUAA
Molecule: ribosomal RNA, 432 nt
Filed under: Triticum aestivum (bread wheat)
Lineage: Eukaryota; Viridiplantae; Streptophyta; Magnoliopsida; Poales; Poaceae
Description: partial small subunit ribosomal RNA
Source: RNAcentral